RNAcentral lists this ribosomal RNA (409 nucleotides) under Mandarina polita. Its description in RNAcentral is "partial 16S ribosomal RNA". The record is from RNAcentral. Lineage: Eukaryota; Metazoa; Mollusca; Gastropoda; Stylommatophora; Camaenidae.
AGUUUUGAGCUAAAUAUAUUUAUAAUAUUAGUUAUUUAUGAAGGUGUUGUAAAAUCUUUAUUUAAAAUUAUAUUUAGGGGUGAUAGGCCUUUCAAAAACUAAGAUAUCUUGAAUCUAAUUAAAAGUAUGUAGUACAAUUAACACAACUAUUAAGUGAUUAGGCUUUAUAGAAUUAUUAACUUAUAAGAUUUUACUUACUAUAAUUUAAUAAUUAAGUACAUAAAUAUAUUAAUAUUCAUAUAUUAUAGUUUAUAAAAGAGUAAUUAGAUAGAUUUAAGUUCAUAUUUCUUAUAAUAAUGUUAAUAUUAGUAUUAAGUUUAUAUUUAUAGGAUGAACUCGGCAAAAAUACUUCUCAACUGUUUAUCAAAAACAUAACUAUGUGAAUGAAUACAUAGCGGUUUCUGCUCAA